RNAcentral lists this ribosomal RNA (440 nucleotides) under uncultured bacterium. RNAcentral describes it as "partial 16S ribosomal RNA". It matches the Rfam family "Bacterial small subunit ribosomal RNA", at positions 338 to 795 of the family's 1533-position model. The record is from RNAcentral.
CCUACGGGAGGCAGCAGUGGGGAAUAUUGCACAAUGGGGGAAACCCUGAUGCAGCGACGCCGCGUGAGUGAAGGAGGAAUUCGUUAUUGAAAGCUCUUUCAGUAGGGAAGAAAAUGACGGUACCUGAGUCAGAAGCCGCGGAUAACUACGUGCCAGCACCCGCGGUAAUACGGAGGGGGCAAGCGUUAUCCGGAUUUACUGGGCGUAAAGGGGGCGUAGUCGGCGGGGGAAGCCUGGUGUGAAAGUGGGGGGCUCAACCCGCGGCCUGCGCUGGAUACUGGAAGGCUGGAGUGCAGGAGAGGGAAGUGGAAUUCGUGGUGUAGCGGUGAAAUGCGUAGAUAUUAGGAGGAACACCAGUGGCGAAGGCGGCUUACUGGACUGUAACUGACGUUGAGGCUCGAAAGCGUGGGGAGCAAACAGGAUUAGAUACCCCGGUAGUC